This 430-nucleotide long non-coding RNA is filed under the name Cyanistes caeruleus (blue tit). Its description in RNAcentral is "lncRNA (ENSCCEG00000009722.1)". Lineage: Eukaryota; Metazoa; Chordata; Aves; Passeriformes; Paridae. The record is from RNAcentral.
CCUUUAUAAUUCUGAUUUUCAUUACCAUGUUUUGUCUUCCUUUUAGAUGAUUCACAUCAUUCCAAAAGGAGAUACAUCAAGUCAUUAGAAAAGUGGCAGGGGAGUGGGAUUGUUUAAAGAUGCAUCUAGUUCCCCUAAUCAUCUGGUUGUUGGACUUAAUCUUUGAUCACUGAGGUUCAUAUUGCAGUUUGUGUGGAGAUGGACACAGGUGAAUCUGAAGCAUUGGUGUCUCAGAGAAGAAGAAACUGACAGAAAAGGUUUAUCUCAAGAGCAUACAGAGUUACAUCAAGCAAAAAUAAGGCUGAAAGAGCCAAAUUCUGAGAGCAGUAAUGCCUACAUUCUAAUCCAAAAGGGAACUUCUGUUAGACAUUUUUCUUCCAUCAGUAUCAUUUUUCCACGCAUGAAACGAACUAUUACAUUUUUGGAAUGA